Molecule: long non-coding RNA, 249 nt
Organism: Sardina pilchardus (European sardine)
Lineage: Eukaryota; Metazoa; Chordata; Actinopteri; Clupeiformes; Clupeidae
Exons: 3
Source: RefSeq, a predicted model, not a curated record
UCGUGUUUUGCAAUGUGUGGACUAUGUUUAUUAAGUGUCUGUUUUGCUGUAUAUUUUACGGAAAUACUACCAGGCCUCAAUCUCCUUCAGGCAACCAUCUGGUCACUCAAAAUGACCAGGCCAACUGGAAACGGUGGAGGUCCUGUUGCCUGGCAAGAUGUUGACAUAAAGUUGAAUUGGCCUGGAGACUACCUGACAACUGUGAAAGCCCUGCUGGCUGAUGAGAUGUGGUCAUAGACUCUUUUCAGU